RNAcentral lists this long non-coding RNA (366 nucleotides) under Androctonus crassicauda. Lineage: Eukaryota; Metazoa; Arthropoda; Arachnida; Scorpiones; Buthidae. The record is from RNAcentral.
GAGAGCCUCCACACAACGCCGCGUCUUCGCCACAGGGACUCUACCCUGAGCAAGGGCUACACCUCUGGCGGCCGGAUGUUCCUCCCGCAGCCGGGCGGAAAGGCACCCGAGCGCGUCUAUUUCGACGUCAUUAGGCCGCCCACCCUGGUGGCUAAUGACUUGGAUAGUGGUGGACUGGCCCGCUUUCGCGAGUGGGCUCUGGGUCAGGAAGGUAUGGUCGUGCUGGUCUCGGGAGAGAACCCAGCAGACGCGAUCGAACAGGUAAACAAGGUCAAUUCACACUACGGUAACGAGCUGAAGACUUUCAAGACGUCUGACUUUCCUGCUGCUGCAAAGCGUGUGAUCAAGGGAGCAAGUGUGGUCCGG